RNAcentral lists this long non-coding RNA (231 nucleotides) under Lathyrus oleraceus (garden pea). Its description in RNAcentral is "Pisum sativum (pea) long non-coding RNA (PSAT_LNC034829)". Lineage: Eukaryota; Viridiplantae; Streptophyta; Magnoliopsida; Fabales; Fabaceae. The record is from RNAcentral.
GCAGUCGUAUCGACGACUCCAUGUAGGGGUUGCGAUUUGGCGGUUGUUGCAUGUUUGCGCGGAUUCGAAUGGUUUCGACACGACAAUGGAAGGAAACACCGGAUAGUUCAUUUGUUGGCGACUUAGUUUCACGUUGUUCUUUCUUCUUCCUCCUUUCUGUUGCUUCAAGUUCACAUUGUUACAUUCGUUUGUUAUGCUUCCUUCAUUGAAUCUGAAUACCAUGGAAUUGAG